GCGUACAUUAAUGUUGUUGCAGUUAAAAAGCUCGUAGUUGGAUUUCUGGAUCGAGCGCUCUGUCCGUCGCUGUGCGAUGCGUACUUGAGUCGUCUCGUUUCAUCCUUGCAGGGAAGCGCGUUCGACAUUUGUUUGUCGACGCGGGGAACUGCAUCUUUUACUGUGAAAAAAUUAGAGUGUUUAAAGCAGGCAUUUUGCUGUGAAUACAUUAGCAUGGAAUAAUAACAUAGGACCCUGGUUCUAUUUUGUUGGUUGGAGGCCAAGGUAAUGAUUAAUAGGGACAGUUGGGGGUAUUCAUAUUUAAUUGUCAGAGGUGAAAUUCUUGGAUUUAUGAAAGAUGAACUCAUGCGAAAGCAUUUACCAAGGAUGUUUUCAUUAAUCAAGAACGAAAGUUAGGGGAUCGAAGAGGAUUAGAUACCCUCGUAGUCUUAACCAUAAACUAUGCCGACUAGGGAUUGGCGGACGUACUUUUUAUGGCUCCGUCAGCACCUUACGAGAAAUCAAAGUCUUUGGGUUCCGGGGGGAGUAUGGUCGCAAGGCUGAAACU
Molecule: ribosomal RNA, 547 nt
Filed under: uncultured marine eukaryote
Lineage: Eukaryota
Also listed under: 1 other name
Description: SSU rRNA
Rfam family: Eukaryotic small subunit ribosomal RNA
Source: RNAcentral